This 313-nucleotide long non-coding RNA is filed under the name Lathyrus oleraceus (garden pea). Its description in RNAcentral is "Pisum sativum (pea) long non-coding RNA (PSAT_LNC029537)". The record is from RNAcentral. Lineage: Eukaryota; Viridiplantae; Streptophyta; Magnoliopsida; Fabales; Fabaceae.
UGGAUCAUUCACUUAUUUGCAUCAGUCCCCUACGUAGAGGAUGCGUAGGCCGAAGCUGACUACUGAGAUACACUACUGAGGACUUAUACGGAAAUGAUGAUUAAGGCCAUGGUAUAUGGGGUUUCGGGAGUGGUUCCUAUAUUUACGAAGUCUAUGGUGCUAAAAUAAUACUGAUGUUUCGCAAAGUUCUCCCAAGUCAAAUACGGAAAUGAUGAUUAAGGCCAUGGUAUAUGGGGUUUCGGGAGUGGUUCCUAUAUUUACGAAGUCUAUGGUGCUAAAAUAAUACUGAUGUUUCGCAAAGUUCUCCCAAGUC